This 460-nucleotide ribosomal RNA is filed under the name uncultured bacterium. RNAcentral describes it as "partial 16S ribosomal RNA". It matches the Rfam family "Bacterial small subunit ribosomal RNA", at positions 338 to 795 of the family's 1533-position model. The record is from RNAcentral.
CCUACGGGUGGCAGCAGUGAGGAAUAUUGGUCAAUGGACGCGAGUCUGAACCAGCCAAGCAGCGUGAAGGAUGACUGCCCUAUGGGUUGUAAACUUCUUUUAUACAGGAAUAAACUCAGAUACGUGUGUCUUUCUGCAUGUACCUUACGAAUAAGGAUCGGCUAACUCCGUGCCAGCAGCCGCGGUAAUACGGAGGAUUCAAGCGUUAUCCGGAUUUAUUGGGUUUAAAGGGUGCGUAGGUGGGCGGUUAAGUUAGUUGUGAAAGAUCGCGGCUCAACCGUGGAAUUGCAAGUGAUACUGGCAGGCUAGAGUGCAGUUGCGGUAGGUGGAAUGUAUGGUGUAGCGGUGAAAUGCUUAGAGAUCACACAGAACACCGAUUGCGAAGGCAGCCUACCAAGCUGCGACUGACGUUGAGGCACGAAAGUGUGGGGAGCAAACAGGAUUAGAUACCCCGGUAGUC